RNAcentral lists this long non-coding RNA (456 nucleotides) under Carica papaya (papaya). Its description in RNAcentral is "long non-coding RNA (CPAP_LNC009301)". Lineage: Eukaryota; Viridiplantae; Streptophyta; Magnoliopsida; Brassicales; Caricaceae. The record is from RNAcentral.
CAAACGGCCGAAAAACCCAGCCGAAGUCCAGCGCCGCCGCCGUGACUCCUCUCUAUUUUUGCCUCCGUGAGGCCCUUCCCGGCCUCCGUUCGAUGCAAAUUUUAUACCACUGUGAUCACCGUUCUUUUCUCUACAGGUUGAUCAGAGCCAAACAUCAAAACGCGACUCACGUCGGAGGAGCCGCCGCACCCGAGGGCACCGCCGCCAGUAAGUCUCAGUUUUUCAUGAUUUUUUGCUCCCCCAAGGGCCCUUGAAUUGUUUUAUCGCAGGGACCGAUGCAAGUUUGGCCGAAUUUGGCCGAAUACAGCCAACCCGAGGCAGAUCGCCGCCUUUUGAAUUGUUCAAAAGAUUCUUUAGUGAAGUUGAGAAAUAGACUGAAAAAAGCAUUAAAGUGCUAAAGUCUUAUAGAGGAGGAGAAUAUCUUAGUGAUGAUUUUACUAGAUAUCUUAAAGAGAU